UACGGGGGGGGCAAGCGUUGUUCGGAAUUACUGGGCGUAAAGGGCUCGUAGGCGGCUAACUAAGUCAGACGUGAAAUCCCUCAGCUUAACUGGGGAACUGCGUCUGAUACUGGAUGGCUUGGAUUCGGGAGAGGAAUGCGGAAUUCCAGGUGUAGCGGUGAAAUGCGUAGAUAUCUGGAGGAACACCGGUGGCGAAGGCGGCAUUCUGGACCGACAUUGACGCUGAGGAGCGAAAGCCAGGGGAGCAAACGGG
RNAcentral lists this ribosomal RNA (253 nucleotides) under uncultured bacterium. RNAcentral describes it as "partial 16S ribosomal RNA". It matches the Rfam family "Bacterial small subunit ribosomal RNA", at positions 524 to 776 of the family's 1533-position model. The record is from RNAcentral.